This 72-nucleotide transfer RNA is filed under the name Sphaerodactylus townsendi. RNAcentral's name for it is "tRNA-Ala". Lineage: Eukaryota; Metazoa; Chordata; Lepidosauria; Squamata; Sphaerodactylidae. The record is from RNAcentral.
AGGGCUGUGGCUCAGUGGAACAGUGUCCGCUUUGCAUGCAGAAGGUCCCAGGUUCAAUCCCCGACAUCUUCC